Molecule: ribosomal RNA, 445 nt
Filed under: uncultured bacterium
Lineage: Bacteria
Description: partial 16S ribosomal RNA
Rfam family: Bacterial small subunit ribosomal RNA
Source: RNAcentral
GUGAGGAAUAUUGCGCAAUGGAGGCAACUCUGACGCAGCCAUGCCGCGUGCAGGAAGAAGGCGCUACGCGUUGUAAACUGCUUUUAACCGGGAAGAAACCCCAGGACGUGUCCUGGGUUGACGGUACCGGAGGAAUAAGCACCGGCUAACUUCGUGCCAGCAGCCGCGGGAAUACGAAGGGUGCAAGCGUUAUCCGGAUUCAUUGGGUUUAAAGGGUGCGUAGGCGGAGCGUUAAGUCAGUGGUGAAAUCCUGCAGCUUAACUGUAGACUUGCCAUUGAGACUGGCGCUCUUGAGUGCGCUUGAAGUGGGCGGAAUGUGCCGUGUAGCGGUGAAAUGCUUAGAUAUGGCACAGAACACCAAUUGCGAAGGCAGCUCACUAAGGCGAUACUGACGCUGAGGCACGAAAGCGUGGGGAUCGAACAGGAUUAGAUACCCCAGUAGUCC